Long non-coding RNA from Orcinus orca (killer whale), 2429 nucleotides. RefSeq lists it as uncharacterized. The transcript has 4 exons. NCBI's taxonomy places the organism in Eukaryota, Metazoa, Chordata, Mammalia, Artiodactyla, Delphinidae. The record is from RefSeq and is a predicted model, not a curated record.
AGCUCUGCUGUCUGCACUAAUCUCACCACUGGCUGCUCUCAGCAUUCCUUCUCCCAUUUCCCCUCUGUCCCUAUUUCUUUACCUUUCUAAUUGUUUCUUUCUUUUUUUUUUUCUUUUUACUCUUGAAUUGUCAGUUCUUGAGGACUAUGGUGAGGUGGCCACCUCUGGAACAUGGACAUGAGAGUAACAAGGUUGCCUUUGAGAGUUAAAUGCUGGGACCAGCCAAGUCUAUUACGAGCAGAAAAGAGCAAAGUCUCCAGGUAGAGACAGGACACCUCCCAAGCACGACACCUGGUGGUGCCCAGGGUUUGCGCGGUCCCAGCAGGGUCUCCUCUCCACACUCCUGCCUGAGGAUUAACAGACCAGGUUCUGAUCUUGGCAUUUGACCGACUUCCCCUUCUGACUGUGAAGGUUGACAUUUUCCUAUGUGUGUGUCUCCUGCAAGCAAAGGCAGCAAUCAGGCUGUCACCAAAACAAGAGGAGAUUUAUGACUUUCAGCUGAAAGAACCAUUUUUACAGGAGGGAUGCUUGAUGGGUCCAAGCUGCGGCAGCUCGUGCAGAUUGGAGCUGGAAGGUCUCCGGAGCACCUCUGCCUCGUCCUUCCUGCGUCGUCUCCGUGACUCGGAACCCAGACCCAGAGUCAGCAAGGGACAGAACACUCCGGGAGGUGUUGAGAAACAGAAGCAAAACUUCAUCAGAUGGUCAGCACCGGUUUUGGAGAAGAGAAGGGGAAGACCUCUUCCACACUUGCCACCUUUGCACCCCCAGAAAAGGGGUGGUCCAGGGGGUGAGAAGCCUGCUGUGAGCCUGGUACGCCAUCUGCUGGCCAUUUGUUUAAUUGCAGAGAGGAGCAGCAUUAAGUCCAGAGACGGGAAUGUCAGGUGCACUCCCCUAUUCCAGCCAAUCAGGUGGGUUAAUUCUUUCUCCCUCUGGUUGAAAAUGAUUCACAGUUGACCCUUGAACAACACAGGUUUGAACUGCGCGGGUCCACUUACACGCAGAUUUUUUCCACUAAAUAACAUACUACCUGACUUGAGGUUGGUUGAAUCCCCAGAUGUGGAACUGCGGAUACUGAGGCUCAAUUAUUACAAAGUUACUGGAGGAUUUUCGACUCUGUUGGACCCACCUUGUUCAAGGAUCAACUGUAUUUAUGUUAAAACAAUGACAAUAAAGGGAAAUAAAGAGAACGUUUUCCCACAUUCUUCCACUGUCUAGACAAGCACUUUUUAAAAAAAAUAUAUAAAUAAAAGUCUGUAUUUACACUUAAGGGGGCUGGGCUGGUGUGUCCUGCCUUGCUGCCUCCUAAAAAGUGGACCAGAGACCCUGGGUAUUUGCAUUGGUAACAAGGGGAGAAAGAACUCAGAUUCUAUAGCCCCAAAGACUUGGGUUUGAACCCAUUUCAUUAGUCACACGCUGGGAGGGGGAAGUCUAUUCAUCUCUGAUUUUGAAUCUGUAUGUGCUAGGCUGGAUAAUACCUAACCCCACCAAAAAAAAAAAAAAAAAAAGAUAUUCAUGCUCUAAUCCCUGGAAUCUGUGAAUAUGUUACCUCACAUUGAAUAAAGGACUUGGCAGACGUGAUUCUGGUUACAGACCUUGAGAUGGGGAGAUUAUUCUGGGUUAUCCGGGUGGUCCCAAUCUAAUCACAGGAGUCCUUAAAGGCAGAGAACCCUUCCUGACUUCAGUCAGAGUGAUGGGACAUUGUCCACUUUGAAGAAGGAGCAAGUGGGCCAUGAACCAAGGAAUGCAGGCAGCUUCUAGAAGCUGGAAAAGGCAAGGAAAUGGAUUCUCCCCAGGGCCUCCAGGAGGAAUGCAGCCUUGCAGACAUCUUGAUUUUCGCCCAUGGGACUUGUGUUGGACUUCUGGUCUCCAGAACCAGUCCUCUGAGGCAUUUUAUUUGCAUGUAUGUAUAACAGCCCUAGAAAAAGAAUCCAAGGAUUUUCCCUCCUGUGUGUUUUCAUCUUGCUUCUUCAUGGUUCAUGAUGUCAGCUGAGGUUGUCAGUACAAUGAAACCAAACUGGUGGGAUGGGAGCAGGUUUUACUGCCAUUUUUCUAGAUCUUUGAGUCGCACAUCAAAUCUGGGGCUGAUCGCUCCACACUUAUUUAGCCUGCCUGUGAGGUUCACAACGAUUUUCCCAGCGCUGUGAUCAUCGAUGAUUUCAAAUUCACCAUUGUAACCAUGCUUCAUCAUCACAGAAACCUGACGAUGACUUUGGAGGAUGGCUUAAUAAGAACCUGGUGUUUGCCUCUCUUUUUGGCAUUGUUGACAUUCUUGAGAGCAUCAGCCGGGACAUUCACGUACACCAUUAUGGCAGCAUGGAAAGAUGGUGGAAAGAUACAUUUUUUAUUAAUAGAAAUGUAUUUUCUCCUCACCCCCACCAAAAUGAUGUUGAAAAGUAUUUAAAAGAACACAGACCCCUACUUCAGAGGAA